This 31-nucleotide non-coding RNA is filed under the name Mus musculus (house mouse). Lineage: Eukaryota; Metazoa; Chordata; Mammalia; Rodentia; Muridae. The record is from RNAcentral.
UGGGUCGCUGGACGUGCCUCACUCUGGAAGU